Molecule: long non-coding RNA, 1367 nt
Filed under: Mus pahari (shrew mouse)
Lineage: Eukaryota; Metazoa; Chordata; Mammalia; Rodentia; Muridae
Description: lncRNA (MGP_PahariEiJ_G0002404.1)
Source: RNAcentral
GGGCGAGGGUCCGCCCCCAGCCUCCCGGGCCUCCUUCCUGUAGGGGAAGUGCGGCUGCUUUCGCGUCCCCAGGCCGCUCCGCUCGGCUCGGCUGGGUCCCGCGGCCGCCGCGCAGCCGAACGGACGCACGCCCGCCCGCCCUCCUGCACGCCGCCGGGCUCAGGGCACGGCCGGGUCCCAGACUUGGGCGCUCGCGGGUGCGCACGCAGGCCGAGCCGAGCCGCCCCGUCCUCCGUCCCUCACGGUGCCCGGGGCCCCGGCGCGCUCACCUCGCCACCAGUAGGUCUUGGACAGAUCGUGCCAGGUCUGGUGCCGGGUGUGGUGGGUGCCCCCGGGGCCCAGGUGAGCCGCCUCGAUGAGGCCCUGGCGCCGCUCGGGCUGCAGCACCACCUCCAGCUCGGCGAAGGUCUUGCGGUGCCGCUGCCGCCGCUGGUAGUAGAGUGUCCCGCCGCGCACGACGUAGCAGGCGGCGGCCUUGCGGAUCUUCCGCUUGACAUUGCCCUCGGUGCCCGGCGCGUAGGGCUCGCGUUCGUUCGUCAGGUAGCGCAGGAUGGCCCGGUAGCUCUCCUCGCUUGACAUCGCCGCCGGCAGCGCCCUCGGGGGCGCCUGUCAGUGACCGGGAGAGGCAGACAGCGGCCCCGGCUCGGCCGAGGGACGGCGGCGGCGGCGACCCGGGGAGGAGCGAAGGCGACGCCUGUGCUGGGCGCUCUCUCUCUCCGAGGGCGCCCGCCCGGCCGCCCGGCCGCAGCGCGGAAGGGGAGAACCGACGACCCGGUAACCAGGGGGAACUGCACUUCGGCAGCGCGCGGGAUCCGCUGGCGACUGACAAAAUGGCUGCUGCACCACCGGAAGUGACGCGAGCGCUGGGGCGGGGCCGGCGCCCCGAUUGGAGCGCUCUCCGGCUCUGGCUCCCAGGGAGCCGGCGGUGUGACGUCAACGCUGCGGGAGGACAUAUUGGAAGAGGGCAGCCGCGCUGCCCUGCAGAUCCGAGGGGCCUCAGCAGACAUCUUAAGUCCUGGCAGGUCCCUCCCCCACCGCCCUCCCUUUCCUUUCCCACGCUCUCUGGAAAGCCACGUGGUUGAGCGGGUCGCUGUUUGUUUCCCUGAGACCCUCCCGGUAAACGGUGACUGAGCCGGUUCUGUAGACUCCAUAUACUAGAUACCGUUUGAAACUGUAACAAUUGGUUGCCACUGGCUGAGCCCCUGGGCCAAAGACUGUCGCAGUAUUAUCAAGCAUUAAGUGCUUCAGUGUUACGAAUUAUCCUCUUAAGAAUUAUCUGCAAACUAAGUUAUUUUCUAGAAUCAUCACCAUGGUGACGACUAUGCAGGUCCAGAUUACUUAGAUGAUUAAGUGCAGAAAUAACUCAA